Molecule: ribosomal RNA, 408 nt
Filed under: uncultured Lactobacillus sp.
Lineage: Bacteria; Bacillati; Bacillota; Bacilli; Lactobacillales; Lactobacillaceae
Description: bacterial SSU rRNA
Rfam family: Bacterial small subunit ribosomal RNA
Source: RNAcentral
CGGAACUAACAGAUUUACUUCGGUAAUGACGUUAGGAAAGCGAGCGGCGGAUGGGUGAGUAACACGUGGGGAACCUGCCCCAUAGUCUGGGAUACCACUUGGAAACAGGUGCUAAUACCGGAUAAGAAAGCAGAUCGCAUGAUCAGCUUUUAAAAGGCGGCGUAAGCUGUCGCUAUGGGAUGGCCCCGCGGUGCAUUAGCUAGUUGGUAAGGUAAAGGCUUACCAAGGCGAUGAUGCAUAGCCGAGUUGAGAGACUGAUCGGCCACAUUGGGACUGAGACACGGCCCAAACUCCUACGGGAGGCAGCAGUAGGGGAUCUUCCACAAUGGACGCAAGUCUGAUCGAGCAACGCCGCGUGAGUGAAGAAGGUUUUCGGAUCGUAAAGCUCUGUUGUUGGUGAAGAAGGAU